UGGAGUGAAGCAGAUGGCAAAAGUUUUGUUAUGUUCAAAGAAAACAUAACAGGAUGAACUUUGACGCUGCUAGGAGUGGGAGAGAAAGAAAAGAAAAGCGCUCAGAUCUGAGCCUCCUGAACAGCUGGGAUUACAGGCGUGAGCUGCUGGCACCCACUAGAAGAUGUUUUGACAAUUAAAAUGUGAUGAGGAAAAACUAUAGAAAUGAGAUGGGGUUGUGUUGAGAAACAGAACUGCUCUGAAAAUGGAAAAGGAAACUAAUUAGUGUUGGGCAGAGUGCUUUCCUGUGCCUGGAAAAGGCUCUUCGGCAGUACCAUUUGAGCAGCUCCAUCAUAAGUUAAGAAAAAUGUUACAACAUGGUCUUCGUUGGAAAUACGUAGUUAAUAUCCUACAAAACAUUUAUUACUAUUUAUAUAAUAAUAUAAAGUAAGAUAAAUUAUAUAUAAUAUAAAUUAUACUAAUAAAAAUUAUACAUUAUAUAAAAUUAUAUAAAUUAAAAUCAUCUAUAAUAUAAAUUGUAUUUAUAUCAACAAAUUUAAUCAUAGGAUUUAUAAUUAAAUUAAUUAUAAUCAAUGUGAUCCUAUAUUUUUAUAUAUUACAAAGGUAUAACAUUAGUAUGCUAUAUAUUGUAAUAUCAAUUAUAAUACGUAAUGUACAUAGUAUAUACUAUCUAUAACAUGUUAUA
Long non-coding RNA from Dipodomys spectabilis (banner-tailed kangaroo rat), 685 nucleotides. RefSeq lists it as uncharacterized. Lineage: Eukaryota; Metazoa; Chordata; Mammalia; Rodentia; Heteromyidae. The record is from RefSeq and is a predicted model, not a curated record. The transcript has 3 exons.